RNAcentral lists this ribosomal RNA (439 nucleotides) under uncultured bacterium. RNAcentral describes it as "partial 16S ribosomal RNA". It matches the Rfam family "Bacterial small subunit ribosomal RNA", at positions 339 to 795 of the family's 1533-position model. The record is from RNAcentral.
CUACGGGCUGCAGCAGUGGGGAAUAUUGCACAAUGGAGGAAACUCUGAUGCAGCAACGCCGCGUGGAGGAUGACACUUUUCGGAGCGUAAACUCCUUUUAUAUAGGAAGAAGAUGACGGUACUAUAUGAAUAAGCGCCGGCUAACUCCGUGCCAGCAGCCGCGGUAAUACGGAGGGCGCAAGCGUUACUCGGAAUCACUGGGCGUAAAGAGCGUGUAGGCGGAUUAAAAAGUCAGGAGUGAAAUCCUAUAGCUUAACUAUAGAACUGCUUCUGAAACUCUUAAUCUAGAAUAUGGGAGAGGUAGAUGGAAUUUCUGGUGUAGGGGUAAAAUCCGUAGAGAUCAGAAGGAAUACCGAAUGCGAAGGCGAUCUACUAGAACAUUAUUGACGCUGAGACGCGAAAGCGUGGGGAGCAAACAGGAUUAGAUACCCGCGUAGUC